GAUGAACGCUAGCGGGAGGCCUAACACAUGCAAGCCGAGCGGUAUUUAUUCUUCGGGAGAGAGAGAGCGGCGUACGGGUGCGGAACACGUGUGCAACCUGCCUUUAUCUAGAGGAUAGCCUUUCGAAAGGAAGAUUAAUACUCUAUAAUAUAUUAAUUGGCAUCAAUUGAUAUUGAAAACUCCGGUGGAUAGAGAUGGGCACGCGCAAGAUUAGCUAGUUGGUGAGGUAACGGCUCACCAAGGCAAUGAUCUUUAGGGGGCCUGAGAGUGUGAUCCCCCACACUGGUACUGAGACACGGACCAGACUCCUACGGGAGGCAGCAGUGAGGAAUAUUGGUCAAUGGGUGCAAGCCUGAACCAGCCAUCCCGCGUGAAGGAUUAAAGUCCUAUGGAUCGUAAACUUCUUUUGUAUAGGGAUAAACCUACCCUCGUGAGGGUAGCUGAAGGUACUAUACGAAUAAGCACCGGCUAACUCCGUGCCAGCCGCCGCAGUAA
This 495-nucleotide ribosomal RNA is filed under the name uncultured bacterium. RNAcentral's name for it is "partial 16S ribosomal RNA". It matches the Rfam family "Bacterial small subunit ribosomal RNA", at positions 28 to 523 of the family's 1533-position model. The record is from RNAcentral.